GUCCACGCCGUAAACGGUGGAUGCUGGAUGUGGGGCCCUUUUCCGGGGUCCUGUGUCGGAGCUAACGCGUUAAGCAUCCCGCCUGGGGAGUACGGCCGCAAGGCUAAAACUCAAAGAAAUUGACGGGGCCCGCACAAGCGGCGGAGCAUGCGGAUUAAUUCGAUGCAACGCGAAGAACCUUACCUGGGCUUGACAUGUGCCGGACGCCCGCGGAGACGCGGGUUCCCUUCGGGGCCGGUUCACAGGUGGUGCAUGGUCGUCGU
Molecule: ribosomal RNA, 263 nt
Filed under: uncultured bacterium
Lineage: Bacteria
Description: partial 16S ribosomal RNA
Rfam family: Bacterial small subunit ribosomal RNA
Source: RNAcentral